RNAcentral lists this ribosomal RNA (233 nucleotides) under uncultured bacterium. RNAcentral's name for it is "partial 16S ribosomal RNA". It matches the Rfam family "Bacterial small subunit ribosomal RNA", at positions 794 to 1032 of the family's 1533-position model. The record is from RNAcentral.
UCCACGCCGUAAACGUUGUAUACUAGGUGUUAGUGGUUUACCACUAGUGCCGUAGCUAACGCAUUAAGUAUACCGCCUGGGGAGUACGGCCGCAAGGCUUAAACUCAAAGAAAUUGACGGGGGCCCGCACAAGCGGUGGAGCAUGUGGUUUAAUUCGAUGAUACGCGAAGAACCUUACCUGGGCUUGAACUGUACAUGACAGGUGUAGAGAUACACUCUUCUUCGGACAUGUA